ACGGAAGGCAGCAGUGGGGAAUAUUGGGCAAUGGGCGCAAGCCUGACCCAGCAACGCCGCGUGAAGGAAGAAGGCUUUCGGGUUGUAAACUUCUUUUACCAGGGACGAAGGACGUGACGGUACCUGGAGAAAAAGCCACGGCUAACUACGUGCUAGCAGCCGCGAUAAUACGUAGGUGGCAAGCGUUGUCCGGAUUUACUGGGUGUAAAGGGCGUGUAGGCGGAGCUGCAAGUCAGAUGUGAAAUCCCGGGGCUCAACCCCGGAACUGCAUUUGAAACUGUAGCCCUUGAGUAUCGGAGAGGCAAGCGGAAUUCCUAGUGUAGCGGUGAAAUGCGUAGAUAUUAGGAGGAACACCAGUGGCGAAGGCGGCUUGCUGGACGACAACUGACGCUGAGGCGCGAAAGCGUGGGGAGCGAACAGGAUUAGAUACCCUGGUA
RNAcentral lists this ribosomal RNA (437 nucleotides) under uncultured Pseudoflavonifractor sp. Its description in RNAcentral is "partial 16S ribosomal RNA". It matches the Rfam family "Bacterial small subunit ribosomal RNA", at positions 341 to 792 of the family's 1533-position model. Lineage: Bacteria; Bacillati; Bacillota; Clostridia; Eubacteriales; Oscillospiraceae. The record is from RNAcentral.